GGGGCUUUCCCACCUGCACCCCAGGGCCGCUGAGCAGGCUGGGCCGCCUCCCACAGUGGAGAAGCCUCUGCACCCGGGACAGCUCAGGCGCUGCCUGCCUCCACGGCCAACCCCGGGCCCCCAGUCCCGAGAGACACGGAGAGCCUCUCCUCUGCCUGAAACACAUCGGGGGCCCAGAACCCUAGCCAAGGGCCUUUCCUGGGGGAAGACAAGAGCUGUGAAUCCAACGAGACCUGGGAAGCCAGGGAAAGCCUUCCUGAACAGGGCACACUUGAACCAAGGCCCGAAGGAGGGCCGGCCCGCAGACUCCUAUGUAGCAACGCAACCCCAUGACAUCAGGACUCUCAGGAACCGCACCGCACAGGUGAGGAGGCUGAGGCCCUCCAGGGGAGGAUGGGCAACGUGUGCAAAAUUAUGAGACCCCUCCCACUGGGAAACAACUGGGCCGGGUUUCACACCCAGGUCUGAAGGGCUGCAGGGCCGGGACCGCCUGACCGCUCUGGUCAGGCACAGAUGGGCCUGUGCAAUCAGAGAGGGCUCCCUGCAGGGGCGAGUCUUGGCCCAGGUGCCCAGCGAUGGGCAGGAUUCCACGGGUGAGCAGAGGACGGUCCGGGCCCGGGCGAGGCCUGCAGGUGAGACGGCCCUCUCAGCCGGCGUCUCCCAGACCUCGCUUAAAAGUCAUCUUUACAGCCAUUCGUCCUUUUUAUUAAGUAAGUUGAUUUUGGGUUUUUUCGCUUGGUUGGUUUUUAAAAAUAAUUUACUGAGGUGCAAUUCACAUAACGUCAAAUUAACAUUUCAAGGAGGACAACUCAGUGGCACUUGGUACAUUCACAGUGUUGUGCAACCACCACAUCUAACUGGUUGCAAAACGUUUUUAUCUCCCCAAAAAGAGCCCCGUACCCAUCAUGCACUGCUCCCGGCUCUCCAUCCCCCAACCCCACGCCCUGGCGACCACCAGCCUGCUUUCCGUCUCCACGGAUUUAGCUAUUCUGGACAUUUCAGAGAAACGGAGUCACACAAUAGGUGACCUUCUGUGUCUGAAUUCUGUCACUUAGCAUAAUGUCCUGGAGGUUCCCCCUUAUCGUAGCGUGUCAGUAGGACUAUUUCUAAAGGGAAAUUUGUAUUACUACCAGAAAGAGAAAGUAAGUUAUUCAUUCCUACCGGUGGGAAGUAACCAGAAUGUUGCUCACAGCGAUGGUGUUAAUUCCAGCUGGACUCCGAGGCCUGCUCAGGGCUCCGGACCGAGGCCCGCUCCGCCUUGUAACAGGAGGAACGUUCUGGAACUUCUGGGGACGGAAGUGGAGCAUCAGCCAGAGCCCUCCUCAGCCUGCGGCCCGGGAACAUGCUUAGAAGAUGACAAUUGGGCUCCCUUGGGCCGAAAUUCCACUCCCGUGGGGGCCUUGCCAAGGAAAACAAGCCCAAGAAGCAGGCAUUAAAGGUGAGCAUAUUUGACGAGUUUUAAGAUGACAAAUUAUUUACACAGGUGUGAGAACCAUCCCCUCGUGGCGGCUUUCUUCCUUUCUCUUCCUCCCCUUUCCAAAUUCUUUCCCCCAAGGGCGCUGACAGACGUGCCAAGGGAGGGGGCGGCUGGCGGUGAGGACCUGCCCACAGUGAGUCCUUAAAGCCCGGGCCCCAGGGGAGGAGGCGGAGCCGCAGGACAGCGGGUCGCACCAGGGGGCUCUGGUCACCCCUCCUCUACCUGCUUGCUCCCCACCCUGUCGCCUGGGGAGGCACGAGCCUGAGGUCCGGGCAUUUCAAGGCUCCCUGAGUCCUUCAGGAGGAUGGUGCCCAGGCCACCCCCCGGGAAAGCAGUUCCCAGGGUCACACAGCCAGCUCAUGCUCAACUUGGAGCUAACGAGGAGAGAGGUGGGGAAAGCAAUUGUUCUCGAGCACCUACUGUGUGCCUGACACUGAGCGGAGCCCUGGGAAUACACUGUGAAUGGAACAGCCCCAAACCCCUGCCUGGAGCCGACAAGGAAACAGGCCAGACAAACCCAAGAAGUGGAUCUGAUCAUCCUUGUUUUACCAAGGAGGAAACUGAGGCACAGAGAAGGGCAGGGACUUGCCCAGGGUCACAC
Equus caballus (horse) is the source of this 2078-nucleotide non-coding RNA. NCBI's taxonomy places the organism in Eukaryota, Metazoa, Chordata, Mammalia, Perissodactyla, Equidae. The record is from RefSeq and is a predicted model, not a curated record.